This 121-nucleotide ribosomal RNA is filed under the name Streptomyces sp. AmelKG-D3. Its description in RNAcentral is "23S rRNA. Bacterial LSU". It matches the Rfam family "Bacterial large subunit ribosomal RNA", at positions 2803 to 2925 of the family's 2925-position model. The record is from RNAcentral. Lineage: Bacteria; Bacillati; Actinomycetota; Actinomycetes; Kitasatosporales; Streptomycetaceae.
GAGUAUUCCCGCCUCCUUUGAGGGGUUAAGGCUCCCAGUAGACGACUGGGUUGAUAGGCCAGAUGUGGAAGCCCUGUGAGGGGUGGAGCUGACUGGUACUAAUAGGCCGAGGGCUUGUCCU